RNAcentral lists this long non-coding RNA (4838 nucleotides) under Sus scrofa (pig). RNAcentral describes it as "lncRNA (ENSSSCG00000062879.1)". The record is from RNAcentral. Lineage: Eukaryota; Metazoa; Chordata; Mammalia; Artiodactyla; Suidae.
AGCUCAUGGCAAUGCCGGAUUCGUAACCCACUGAGCAAGGCCAGGGAUCAAACCCAAAACCUCAUCAUUCCUAGCUGGAUUUGUUAACCACUGAGCCAUGAAGGGAACUCCCUACAUUUAACUUUUGAAUCAAUUCUGUUUCAUUUGUUUUAUAUAACAAUCUAGCCUUAUGUUUCUAAAUAUUUAACUGCCAUUAUAAUAAAACUAUUUAAGUCAGUGCAACUAUUUCAAUCAAUAGUUGGAAAAUUAUUUAAGUCAACUACUUAAGUACUUUCUUUAAAAGCAGUCUAGAGGUGUAGGUGAUGUGGCUACAUGAGUGUAUCCUUUAAAAAAAGAAAAACACCUAAAACCAUAGACUUAAAAUCUGUGCAUUUCAAUGUAUAUAACUUUUGUCUAAAAAAGGGAAAGAAAACAAAAAUUGAGUGAAGUGGUAGAGAGUAGGUGAUGUUAUAGAUGGAACAAAAAUGUCAGAUUAUUGAUAUAGAUAUAAAGUCCUUGAGUAAGAAAGAGUAUUAGAAAAUAAGUGAGAAGAAAGGAAACUCCACAGACACUUAAGUUGCUCAUAAGAAAAGGGACAAUGAAGAAAGAAUGUGAAGAGGGGACAAGGCAAGAAUUCUGUUAUCAGUUCUCAGAAGUAGAGGGCCUGAAGGUAAUUCUGAAAAAGUACAUUCUGUGCAUUCAGGUUAGGGGAAAAAAGUGAUUCAGGAUAUACUCUACCUUUGGUUUAGUAAGAAACACAUGCUUUAAACUAAAGAGUCCAAUUCUGGGUGGAGGGAUUGCAAAAUAAACAGCAUUUGGACAAGAAAUUGUUGCAGAAAAAUCUUCACAACAAUGACUCAAAGUUUGGUUCUCAUACUAUCAGUCACAUCUGCAUCACCUGGGAAUCUGCUAGAAAUGCAAGUUAUGAGGCCCCACCCUUGAAUCAGAAACAAUCAAUUUCUCUUUAACACGCCCUCCAGCUGAUUCUGAUGCAUGCUAAAGGGCAAUGCAAUGCUGCACAGAUUUCACAAAGAUUUAAGAUUCUAAACUAGCUAGUCUGGCUCUAGAUCACAUUCUUUACCAUACAGUACAAUUCAUUUUAGAGGUCUUCCUUUACCUAACUCAAACAGUGCCCCUUUCUAGUCCUUUGUUCUAGUGAAUAGAAUUUCCUCCCUUUGCGUAAGACUUGCAGGAUCUUAGUUUGAAAUUCGGCAGGAUGAAAUUUAUUUAAGCACCUUUGAAGAGGUGUGUCAUCCUCUAUUUCCAAGAGAUCUAUCUUCAGAUGGGGUCAAGGAAACCCCUAGGUGAGAAUCCGGCCUCAAGGUUGAGAGUAGAGUAUACCAGUUUUAAGGACAACAGGUCAGUAUUUAAGAGGAAUGAUGAUUUUCUUUUUUCUUUUUAGGGCUGCACCUGUGGCACAUGGAGGUUCCCAGGCUAGGGGUCAAAUUGGUGUUGUAGCUCCUGGCCUACACCAGAGCCACAGCAAUGCAGGAUCUGAGCAGCAUCUACGACCUACACCACAACUUACGGCAAUGUCAGAUCCUUAACCUACUGAGUGAGGCCAGGGAUUGAACCUGCGUCCUCAUGGAUGCUGGUCAGAUUUGUCUCCACUGAUUCAUGAUGGGAAUUCCGAUUUUUUUUUUUUUUUUUUUUUUGGCUACACCCCUGUGACAUGCAGAAAUUCCUGGGCAGGGAUUGAACUAGGCCGCAAGACUGACCCCAGCCAUAUCAGUAACCCAAGCAGCAACAAUGACAGAUCCCCAACCAUUGGGCCACCAGGAACUCCAGGGAAUAUUGAUUCUUAAAAGAGGGUAGUGAUUAGCACUCAGACUGUUUCUGGCUUUGUCCCAAAUGCAUUCCUAAGUCUUAAAGGACUAUCUGAGAAUGAAAAUGGAAAGGGCUAGCUAAAAUCUGGAACAACAAGGAUGCCCACUCUCACAACUUUUAUACAGCUCAGUAUUGGAAAUCCUAGCCACAGCAAUCAGACAAACAAAAGAAACAAAAGGUGUCCAAAUUGUAAGAGAAGAGGUAAAAUUGUCACUCUAUGUAGAUGACAUGAUACUGUAUAUAGAAAACCCUAAGGACUCCACACAAAAACUACUUGAACUAAUGAACGAAUUCAGCAAAGUAGCAGGAUACAAGAUUAACAUUCAGAAAUCAGUUACAUUUCUGUAUACUAACAAUGAAAUACUAGAAGAAGAAUACAAAAAUGUAAUACCUUUUAAAAUCGCACCCCCCCAAAAUUAAAUACCUAGGAAUAAACCUUACUGAGGAGGUGAAAGACUUGUAUGCUGAGAACUAUAAAACAUUAAUCAAGGAAAUUAAAGAGGAUUCAAAGAAAUGGAAAGAUAUUCAAUGCUCCUGGGUAGGAAGAAUUAAUAUCAUAAAAAAUGGCCAUAUUACCCAAAGCAAUCUACAGAUUCAGUGCAAUCCCUGUCAAAUUACCCAUGACAUUUUUCAUAGAACUAGAACAAACAAUCCAAAAAUUUAUAUAGAACCACAAAAGACCCAGAAUUUCCAAAGCAAUCCUAAGGAACAAAAACCAAGGAGGACUCUUCCAGACUUCAGGCAAUGUUAUAAAGGCUGUAAUCAAGACAGUGUGGUACUGGUACUAAAACAAACAUAUAGACCAAUGGAACAGAACAGAGAAUCCAGAAAUAAACUCAGACACCUACAGUCAAUUAAUCCUUGACAAAGGAAGCAAGAACAUAAAAUGGGAAAAAGGCAGUUUUUUUAGUAAGUGGUGCUCAGAAAACUGGACAGCCACAUGUGAAUCAAUGACACUGGAACACACUCUAACACCAAGCACACAGAUAAAUUCAAAAUGGCUUAAAGAUUUAAAUGUAAGACAAGACACCACCAAAGUCCUAGAAGAGAACAUAGGCAAAACAUUCUCUAACAUCAACCGUACAAAUGUUUUAUUAGGUCAGACUAAUAAAAAUAAAAGCAAAAGUAAACCAAUGGGACCUAAUCAAACUGACAAACUUUUGCAUUGCAAAGGAAACCAUUAAAAAAAAACACACACACACACAAACUAUGGAAUGGGAGAAAAUAGUUUCAAAUGAUGAAAUUGACAUGGGCUUAAUCUCUAAAAUAUAUAAAUACCUUACACAACUCAACAGCAAAAAAGCCAACACCCCAAUAGAGAAACGGGCAAAAGACAUGAAAAGACAUUUCUCCAAAGAAGAUAUACAGGCGGCUAACAGACACAUGAAAAAAUGCUCAAUAUCACUAAUUAUUAGAAAAAUGCAAUCAAAACUACUAUGAGGUACCACCUCACACCUGUUAGAAUGGCUAUCGUUAACAUGGCAACCAAUAACAAAUGCUGAAGAGGGUGUGGAGAAAAGGGUACCCUCCUACACUGUUGGUGGGAAUGGAAAUUGGUUCAACCACAAUGGAAAACGGUAUGGAGGUACCUCAAAAAACUAAAGAUAGAACUACCAUAUGACCCAGCGAUCCCAUUCUUGGGCAUACAUCCAGACAAAACUUUCCUUGAAAAAGAUACAUUCACAAAAAGAUACAUGUAUACACACAGAAAAAUAUACAUACAUGUGUGUUCACUGCACCACUAUUCACAAUAGCCAAGACAUGGAAACAACCUAAAUAUCCAUCUACAGAUGAAUGGAUUAAGAAGAUGUGGUAUUGGAGUUCCUGUCAUGGCUCAGUGGUUAACAAAUCCGACUAGGAAGCAUGGGGCUGUAGGUUCAAUCCCUGGCCUCGCUCAGCAGGUUAAGGAUCCGAUGUUGCCUUGAGCUGUGGUGUGUGUGGGUCGAAGACGAGUCUUGGAUCUGGUGUUGCUGUGGCUGUGGUGUAGGCCAGUGGCUACAGCUCUGAUUAGACUCCUAGCCUGGGAACUUCCAUGUGCUGUGGGUGAGGCCCUAGAAAAGACAAAAAAAGAGAAGAUGUUGUAUGUAUACACAAUGGAAUACUCCUCAGCAUGGAAUACUCCUCAGCCAUAGAAAAGAACAAAAUAAAAGAACAAAAUAAUGCUAUUUGCAGCAACAUGGAUGGAACUAGAGACUCUCCUACUAAGUGAAGUAAGUGAAGUAAGUCAGAAAGAGAAAGACAAAUACUGUAUGAUAUCACUUGUAUCUGGAAUCUCAUAUACAGCACCAAUGAACCUUUCCACAGAAAAGAAACUCAUGGACUUGGAGAACAGACUUGUGGUUGUAAACAGACUUGUUGAGGGGGAGGGAGUGGGAUGGACUGAGAGUCUGGGGUUAAUAGAUGCAAACUAUUGCAUUUGGAGUGGGUAAGCAAUGAGAUCCUGCUAUAUAGCCCAGGGAACUAUAUCUAGUCACUUAUGAUGGAACAUGAUGGAGGAUAAUGUGAGAAAAAUAUAUACAUGUGUGACUGGGCCACUUUGCUGGACAGUAGAAAUUGACAGACCACUGUAAACCAACUAUAAUGGAAACAAUAAAAAUCAUUUAAAAGAUUAAAAAAAGAAAAUGGAAACGGCUGUUUUACUAAAAACUUCGAGACAUUGAGACUUCAGUCAUAUAUGACCUCAGUCAUGUAUGACAAACAGGAAGAGUGCUCUUGAAAAUACACUGCAACUUUGACAUCAGCCAGCAGCACCUACUAUUGGAUACUGAUAUGAGACAGUACCUUCAGGGCAAACAGUUUAGUCUUCUGAACCAAGCACUAGCCAUACAAGGAGCUGCACAUGGAAAUGACUACAUCAGGGCCAGGGCCAGGCAGAGGAAAAUGGAUAUAACUCAUGGUGGCAGAGAGAUCAGUGAGUAUGUAGGAAAUACUUUCAAGUCUCCUCAAACAGCUUUGAAGGAAGGCGCAUCAUUUAAGAUUGGGCAGAGUCUUUCAGACUCUAUUAUAACCUAUAAACUAUUAUAACCUAGUCU